Molecule: unclassified non-coding RNA, 364 nt
Filed under: uncultured Lecanoromycetes
Lineage: Eukaryota; Fungi; Ascomycota; Lecanoromycetes
Description: sequence contains ITS2
Rfam family: 5.8S ribosomal RNA (bases 1-154)
Source: RNAcentral
AACUUUCAACAACGGAUCUCUUGGUUCUGGCAUCAAUGAAGAACGCAGCGAAAUGCGAUAAGUAAUGUGAAUUGCAGAAUUCAGUGAAUCAUCGAAUCUUUGAACGCACAUUGCGCCCUCUGGUAUUCUGGGGGGCAUGCCUGUUCGAGCGUCAUUACAACCUUCAAGCCUGGCUUGGUAUUGGGUGCCGUCCCCCGGGGCGCGCCUGGAAAACAGCGGCGGUGCGGCCGGUGAUCGAGCGUAGUAACUACUCCCGCUUCGAGCCACCCGGGCGUUCCAGCCGGACAACAUCUAUUUUUCAAUGGUUGACCUCGGAUCAGGUAGGGAUACCCGCUGAACUUAAGCAUAUCAAUAAGCGGAGGCU